Small nucleolar RNA from Acomys russatus (golden spiny mouse), 138 nucleotides. RefSeq annotates it as small nucleolar RNA SNORA48. NCBI's taxonomy places the organism in Eukaryota, Metazoa, Chordata, Mammalia, Rodentia, Muridae. The record is from RefSeq and is a predicted model, not a curated record. The transcript has a single exon.
GGCCCCUGGCAAUGGGCAAAAAGAUACCUUGUUGGUGUUCUUAUAUCAGUCAGGCGCAGAGCAGAUAUCAGUCCUUUGUUCUUCCUCGCUUGAUGCCUGGCUUGAUGGCCAAAGCUGUCUUAUGCCUAGGACACAUAA